This 155-nucleotide unclassified non-coding RNA is filed under the name Escherichia fergusonii ATCC 35469. Its description in RNAcentral is "SraA". The stretch from base 65 to 155 matches the Rfam family "sraA". Lineage: Bacteria; Pseudomonadati; Pseudomonadota; Gammaproteobacteria; Enterobacterales; Enterobacteriaceae. The record is from RNAcentral.
UCUCUUAGUUUAGUGUCCGCCAGGUAAACAGAUGGCACGACUGUGCUUCAUGUCAUCUUUUAACAUGUGUGUCAGUAUAUGGGGAUGUUUCCCCCACAUUCAACGCCGGGAAUAGCGGAAAAAUAAAAGGGGAGAUGUAUUCCCCCCUUUUUGAU